AUAUCUCAACUCCAAUGUUUUGUCAAGGUCUUGUUGACUCGUCCUGCCGGCCUAGCGAGGCUGCUGCGACUGUCGCGAGGCUGAAGCGUUGGAGCUUGGACUUGAGCUCUGUUGGCCUUUCCAGGUCGACUGGCUAGAAAUGCAUCAGCGAUGACGUCCCUUGGGUCCAUCUCGGCGUGAUAAGUUGAUCGUCGCAAAGGUCCUCGGGUUGGCUCGCUCCUAAUCGUCUUCGGACAGCCUCUGACG
Molecule: unclassified non-coding RNA, 246 nt
Filed under: uncultured Epulorhiza
Lineage: Eukaryota; Fungi; Basidiomycota; Agaricomycetes; Cantharellales; Tulasnellaceae
Description: partial internal transcribed spacer 2
Source: RNAcentral